Talpa occidentalis (Iberian mole) is the source of this 400-nucleotide long non-coding RNA. RefSeq lists it as uncharacterized. NCBI's taxonomy places the organism in Eukaryota, Metazoa, Chordata, Mammalia, Eulipotyphla, Talpidae. The record is from RefSeq and is a predicted model, not a curated record. The transcript is spliced from 3 exons.
GCCGCGCACUGCACUGUCAAGUUCAACAUUUUUAUUUUGAUGAAAGUUUUGCAUCGACUUGUGCACAGAGACAAGUGGGCGCACACCCAGGCUCACGCCCCAGUGGUUCCCCAGAAUCAUUUUCUCGCAUUCCUUGGAGCCCGUCUUGCGUCAGUCGUUUUCCACAUCUGCUGGGCGGCACCGAAGGAAUGUCUAUUUUUUUCUGGAGGAAUGCUCACCAAAUUCACAAGCAAGAACUGAUUAAGUGAUCAUCUACUGGUGUUUACUGCUUACAACUCCAGGGAAAAGUUGCAUUCUGGUGGAUUACUACUUUUCUAAGUCCCUCCAGAUUUUCUUCUAUGAAGAGGUUACAAACAGGGAAGAUCUCUAUGAAGAUCUCUAAGUUCACUGAGGAAGUUGU